UUGACCGCUGGCGGCAUGCUUUACACAUGCAAGUCGAACGGUAACAGGCCGCAAGGUGCUGACGAGUGGCGAACGGGUGAGUAAUGCAUCGGAACGUGCCCAGUCGUGGGGGAUAACUACUCGAAAGAGUAGCUAAUACCGCAUACGAUCUAUGGAUGAAAGCGGGGGACCGUAAGGCCUCGCGCGAUUGGAGCGGCCGAUGUCAGAUUAGGUAGUUGGUGGGGUAAAGGCUCACCAAGCCAACGAUCUGUAGCUGGUCUGAGAGGACGACCAGCCACACUGGGACUGAGACACGGCCCAGACUCCUACGGGAGGCAGCAGUGGGGAAUUUUGGACAAUGGGCGCAAGCCUGAUCCAGCAAUGCCGCGUGCAGGAAGAAGGCCUUCGGGUUGUAAACUGCUUUUGUACGGAACGAAACGGCUCUGGUUAAUACCCGGGGCUAAUGACGGUACCGUAAGAAUAAGCACCGGCUAACUACGUG
RNAcentral lists this ribosomal RNA (481 nucleotides) under uncultured bacterium. Its description in RNAcentral is "partial 16S ribosomal RNA". It matches the Rfam family "Bacterial small subunit ribosomal RNA", at positions 30 to 507 of the family's 1533-position model. The record is from RNAcentral.